Molecule: ribosomal RNA, 854 nt
Filed under: uncultured bacterium
Lineage: Bacteria
Description: bacterial SSU rRNA
Rfam family: Bacterial small subunit ribosomal RNA
Source: RNAcentral
AGAGUUUGAUCAUGGCUCAGAUUGAACGCUGGCGGCAGGCUUAACACAUGCAAGUCGAACGGUAACAGGGAGAAGCUUGCUUCUUUGCUGACGAGUGGCGGACGGGUGAGUAAUGCUUGGGAAUCUGGCUUAUGGAGGGGGAUAACUACGGGAAACUGUAGCUAAUACCGCGUAAUAUCUUUGGAUUAAAGGGUGGGACUUUCGGGCCACCUGCCAUAAGAUGAGCCCAAGUGGGAUUAGGUAGUUGGUGGGGUAAAGGCCUACCAAGCCGACGAUCUCUAGCUGGUCUGAGAGGAUGACCAGCCACACUGGAACUGAGACACGGUCCAGACUCCUACGGGAGGCAGCAGAGGGGAAUAUUGCACAAUGGGGGGAACCCUGAUGCAGCCAUGCCGCGUGAAUGAAGAAGGCCUUCGGGUUGUAAAGUUCUUUCGGUGAUGAGGAAGGUGUUUGUUUUAAUGGAACAAGCAAUUGACGUUAGUCACAGAAGAAGCACCGGCUAACUCCGUGCCAGCAGCCGCGGUAAUACGGAGGGUGCGAGCGUUAAUCGGAAUGACUGGGCGUAAAGGGCACGCAGGCGGUGACUUAAGUGAGAUGUGAAAGCCCCGGGCUUAACCUGGGAAUUGCAUUUCAUACUGGGUCGCUGGAGUAUUUUAGGGAGGGGUAGAAUUCCACGUGUAGCGGUGAAAUGCGUAGAGAUGUGGAGGAAUACCGAAGGCGAAGGCAGCCCCUUGGGAAUAUACUGACGCUCAUGUGCGAAAGCGUGGGGAGCAAACAGGAUUAGAUACCCUGGUAGUCCACGCUGUAAACGCUGUCGAUUUGGGGAUUGGGCUUAGAGCUUGGUGCCCGUAGCU